UUCCUUUUGUUUUCUCCUCGUUAAAUGGCAGGCACCACCAUUUCCUUUCUUGCGUGAACAACUUCCAAACAUUUCACCAUUCCUAAAUUAAAAAGAUCAAUUAUUUCCUUUCUUGAUUGAUUGCCAAUCAAUCACGAGUCAUGCCGUGAUUACGAAACACCCUAUAUAACCCGGCUCCAUCCUUCACUUCGAAACCGUACCACCUCCCGUUCACAGCCACCCCCCUUCCGACUCCUAUAAAUACCGAACCGAUUCCCGAAACCAUCUUCGUCGGCCGGAGUCUCGCAUCUCCGCCGGGGUUUGACCACCACUCCUAGCCGGAACCACCGCCGCACCACCGCCAUUCGCCGUCGUCUGCCGUCUCCGAUGACCCCGUCCGGGUAAAUCUCUUGUGCAACGACACUUGGAACAAUCCUCAUAUUCUCUUUACAAGAAUCGCAACGCAAUCACUGUUGAUUGAUCAAGAUACAAGAAAACAAGCUAGGAUGGCUUAGAAACUCAUUCUAGAAAUAAGCAAUUGUU
Molecule: long non-coding RNA, 522 nt
Filed under: Helianthus annuus (common sunflower)
Lineage: Eukaryota; Viridiplantae; Streptophyta; Magnoliopsida; Asterales; Asteraceae
Description: sRNA HanXRQr2_Chr01g0004841
Source: RNAcentral